AUUGAACGCUGGCGGCAUGCUUUACACAUGCAAGUCGAACGGUAACAGGGAGCUUGCUCCGCUGACGAGUGGCGAACGGGUGAGUAAUAUAUCGGAACGUGCCCAAGAGUGGGGGAUAACGUAGCGAAAGUUACGCUAAUACCGCAUACGAUCCAAGGAUGAAAGCAGGGGACCUUCGGGCCUUGUGCUCCUGGAGCGGCCGAUAUCUGAUUAGCUAGUUGGUGAGGUAAAGGCUCACCAAGGCGACGAUCAGUAGCUGGUCUGAGAGGACGACCAGCCACACUGGAGCUGAGACACGGUCCAGACUCCUACGGGAGGCAGCAGUGGGGAAUGUUGGACAAUGGGGGCAACCCUGAUCCAGCAAUGCCGCGUGAGUGAAGAAGGCCUUCGGGUUGUAAAGCUCUUUUGUCAGGGAAGAAAAGGGUACGGCUAAUAUCCGUGCCUCAUGACGGUACCUGAAGAAUAAGCACCGGCUAACUACGUGCCAGCCGCCGCGGUAA
Molecule: ribosomal RNA, 500 nt
Filed under: uncultured bacterium
Lineage: Bacteria
Description: partial 16S ribosomal RNA
Rfam family: Bacterial small subunit ribosomal RNA
Source: RNAcentral